UGUGGACAUCAUUGGGAAAUGGAGACAAAUUAGUAACUGUAUAGCUGCUGCUUGUUUAGUUCCAAGCUGACAUUCUAGGCAAGCUCGGCCUGAGCCUGCAUGUGUCUUGCUUUCUUCACGGCACAGUUCCUGCGACAGUGGAGACAUCAGCUUCUCCCUGGUUGGGACUGUUUGGGGGUGACGGAGAUGAAAUAGAAUCAAAACAUUAUAUACGACAUUGUCCUGGACUCCCCUGUCUUCAGCAAGAGCCUUCUCAUCCAACCAGCAAGUCAAAGAGCCUGAUGAGAAAAGUGGGGUCCAGGAGGGAAAGGGACAUGGCAGCAGUCUUCAGCCCUGGUGGAGGCACGGCAGAGCUCGGCUCUUCUGAUGUCCCUCCAACAUCUUUCCCAUCCUUUAUGAACUUGAUCUUCAGAAAGGAGACUAUCAGACGGGUAAGACAAACAUUAUUGUCCCACUUUACAGAUGAAGAGCUUGGUGCUCCAGUGGAUGCUUAGCGAGAGCCUCCUGUGUUCUGGGCCCUGUGCUGAGCCCAGGGGCAGAGCAUCAGACAAUGCAGACAGGAUCCCUGCCCGCGGGAGCAGGCGCACAGCACUUCACGGAGGAACUGGUAGGCUUAGCCAAGAGGCAGGGCGGCCUUCCCCGCGGGCCCAAGUAGGGGUUCCCACCUGCCAGGGUCUACUUCACCAGCAGGCAUAGAAUACAGAAGCACUUCAUAUGGGUAUAUUUUAAUCAGUACAUCAGUCGUAGAUCAUUGCAAAAGAAAAACAAAAUUGUCCUGCACUAAUUUGCCACGCUGUGAGAAAUGAUCUGAUGAUUUUUAUUUUGAUUAGUAGAUGGUUGCAACUAUAAAUCUUUUCCCUCAAAAUGGCAUCUGCACCUUUUGAAGGCUUAAAAAAAAACUUUAAGGUGAAAUUUGCAAAGGGAUGAGAGCAGAACUUCCCUGUGCCCCAGUGUCCUGCCCUGUGCUAUGCGUUGGUGAAGCCCGCACGAACCGCCUCCUAGCUCCCACGCGCACUCUGAGGCCAACAGACCCGCCUGGCAGCCAGCUGGAAGCUCAGAAAGAGCGGACUCUAAAAAUAUCGGCUUCUGCAGUUUCAACGCCGGGCCCAGGGGCUUCUAGAUUGACAGGUCCGUUUACCUACCAAUUAUUGGUUUAAAAAAAA
Long non-coding RNA from Trichechus manatus latirostris (Florida manatee), 1163 nucleotides. RefSeq lists it as uncharacterized. The transcript is spliced from 3 exons. NCBI's taxonomy places the organism in Eukaryota, Metazoa, Chordata, Mammalia, Sirenia, Trichechidae. The record is from RefSeq and is a predicted model, not a curated record.